This is a non-coding RNA of Hygrophoropsis aurantiaca, 82 nucleotides long. The record is from the annotation of a GenBank genome assembly. NCBI's taxonomy places the organism in Eukaryota, Fungi, Basidiomycota, Agaricomycetes, Boletales, Hygrophoropsidaceae.
UCUUUGCUAGUAUAUCGGAUAGUACAGCCGCCUGUCAUACGAUGGGUCGCGGCAGAGCUGGGUUCGACUCCCAGGCAGAGAG